Non-coding RNA from Haemonchus placei, 77 nucleotides. The record is from Rfam. NCBI's taxonomy places the organism in Eukaryota, Metazoa, Nematoda, Chromadorea, Rhabditida, Trichostrongylidae.
GGUUCCCAAAUCUGAAGUAGAGCAGAUUAGUAGGAUCAGCUGACUAUACUAAUUUACUCUACUUCAAGUUUGUGCCC